RNAcentral lists this ribosomal RNA (203 nucleotides) under uncultured soil bacterium. Its description in RNAcentral is "partial 16S ribosomal RNA". It matches the Rfam family "Bacterial small subunit ribosomal RNA", at positions 26 to 227 of the family's 1533-position model. The record is from RNAcentral.
AGAUUGAACGCUGGCGGCAGGCCUAACACAUGCAAGUCGAGCGGCAGCACGGGUACUUGUACCUGGUGGCGAGCGGCGGACGGGUGAGUAAUGCCUAGGAAUCUGCCUGGUAGUGGGGGAUAACGCUCGGAAACGGACGCUAAUACCGCAUACCGUCCUACGGGAGAAAGCAGGGGACCUUCGGGCCUUGCGCCUAUCAGAUG